UAGGGAAUCUUCGGCAAUGGACGAAAGUCUGACCGAGCAACGCCGCGUGAGUGAAGAAGGUUUUCGGAUCGUAAAACCCUGUUGGUAGAGAAGAACGUUGGUGAGAGUGGAAAGCUCAUCAAGUGACGGUAACUACCCAGAAAGGGACGGCUAACUACGUGCCA
RNAcentral lists this ribosomal RNA (164 nucleotides) under uncultured bacterium. Its description in RNAcentral is "partial 16S rRNA". It matches the Rfam family "Bacterial small subunit ribosomal RNA", at positions 355 to 510 of the family's 1533-position model. The record is from RNAcentral.